Molecule: ribosomal RNA, 521 nt
Filed under: uncultured fungus
Lineage: Eukaryota; Fungi
Description: SSU rRNA
Rfam family: Eukaryotic small subunit ribosomal RNA
Source: RNAcentral
AGCAGCCGCGGUAAUUCCAGCUCCAAUAGCGUAUGUUAAAGUUGUUGCAGUUAAAAAGCUCGUAGUUGAAUUUCGGGGUCAGCAAGUUGGUCGUGCCACCGGUAUGUACUGGCUUUGCUGAUUCCUCCUUCUUGUAGAACCGUAAUGCCAUUAAGUUGGUGUUGCGGGAAAACAGGACUGUUACUUUGAAAAAAUUAGAGUGUUUAAAGCAGGCUAACGCUUGAAUACAUUAGCAUGGAAUAAUGAAAUAGGACGACGAUCCUAUUUUGUUGGUUUCUAGGAUUGACGUAAUGAUUAAUAGGGAUAGUUGGGGGCAUUAGUAUUCAAUUGUCAGAGGUGAAAUUCUUGGAUUUAUUGAAGACUGACUACUGCGAAAGCAUUUGCCAAGGAUGUUUUCAUUAAUCAAGAACGAAAGUUAGGGGAUCGGAGACGAUCAGAUACCGUCGUAGUCUUAACCAUAAACUAUGCCGACUAGGGAUCGGAUGAUGUUAAUUUUAUAAUGACUCAUUCGGCGCCUUAAC